Molecule: ribosomal RNA, 116 nt
Filed under: Bacillus cereus
Lineage: Bacteria; Bacillati; Bacillota; Bacilli; Caryophanales; Bacillaceae
Source: RNAcentral
UUUGGUGAUGAUGGGAGAGAGGUGACACCCGUUCGGAUACCGAACACGUAAGUUAAGCUCUCUAGCGCCGAUGGUAGUUGGGACCUUGUCCCUGUGAGAGUAGGACGUCGCCAAGC